Long non-coding RNA from Neltuma alba, 649 nucleotides. RefSeq lists it as uncharacterized. NCBI's taxonomy places the organism in Eukaryota, Viridiplantae, Streptophyta, Magnoliopsida, Fabales, Fabaceae. The record is from RefSeq and is a predicted model, not a curated record. The transcript is spliced from 2 exons.
AGUAUUACCGGUAAAGUUUUUGUACUAAAAGAAAAACAAAAUGUCACAUUGUGUAAAGUGCAAGAAGUAGAUUUUACAACAAAAAGCAGGUAUGAAUCUUACAAGGGAAGCAUUUUAAAUUUCAUGUCUGGGUUGGAUCUCUCUAGCAAUCAAUUGAGAGUUGCUCAUAAUAAUCUAUCUGGAAUGACACCUGAUAUGAAAAAUCAAUUUGCAACUUUUGGCUCAGCCAGUUAUGAAGGGAACCUUUUUCUAUGCGGUCCCCCUUUGCCGCAAAAUUGCUCAAUAGGAGGGAGAAACAGGCAACCUCAUCAUUUGGAUACAAAUGAUUUUCGAGAUGCUUUCUUAUGGAGUUUUGUUGGAGCAUUUGGGGUCUUUUUUAUAAGUGUCAUUAUAGUUAUUUAUUUGAAUCCUUACAUUUUCAAUUACAAACUACUUGUAUUAGAGAGAGUUAUAACAAGUUAUUUGUAUGAGUGAUGGCAAAAAGGAAAAAGGCUUUACUUAGAGUUCAAUUAGAGUUCAUAAGAUUUUGAUCAUGUAAUCGAUGGCCUGCUGAUCUUUUCUAGAAUUACAAUAACCAAAAGAUUGCUGGUUUCAAGUCUUCUCAGGAUCAGAAAGGAAACUUAAUUGAAAUAUUCGAAUCAUUACUUCU